Molecule: unclassified non-coding RNA, 186 nt
Filed under: plant metagenome
Description: partial contains small subunit ribosomal RNA and internal transcribed spacer 1
Rfam family: Eukaryotic small subunit ribosomal RNA (bases 1-46)
Source: RNAcentral
AAGUCGUAACAAGGUUUUCGUAGGUGAACCUGCGGAAGGAUCAUUAGUGAAACACCGGAUUCCUUUGCAAAGAGAAGGUCCGACCCACUAUCACACACACUUGUGCACUUGUCAUUUUUACAAAUCCAUUUUGUACACACUUUUGCAUUUUGAAGGUUGAUUUUAUAAACAUAAACGAAAGAAAAA